AUCCAGCUGACGAGACCUGAAUAGGACGAAACGGGCGUCAUGUAU
Schistosoma mattheei is the source of this 45-nucleotide non-coding RNA. Lineage: Eukaryota; Metazoa; Platyhelminthes; Trematoda; Strigeidida; Schistosomatidae. The record is from Rfam.